UGAGGACCCUCCAGGCCCGAGCGCGGGGCGUCUGCUCGCGUCCCUGCGGCCCAGGUCCGGUGUCCGGGCCCGGGAGGUGCUCGCGGGCGGGGACCCCCGCGUCUGAGCGCCCGCGUGAAGGGGUGCGGGAGCGGGCUGCUGGGGCGGGGCCGGCUGGUGCAGGGCUGUAGGGGGCGCCGAGGGAGAGGAUUCGGGAGUGUGGGGGUCCGCCCUCUGCCCUCGGGAAACAGAGGGUGUGCGGCGGGGGCACGGCGGUCAGGAGGGUUGUCCCUUCAUAUGAGGACUCUAGACGGCAAGGAGAGUUCUGGCCAAAGGAGGGACAUGAUUUCCAUUAGGGUUUUAAAACUCCCCCAGACAGUUCAAAGGAAGACCAGAUUGGAGGAGGGUUCGUUGAGACCCUGGGAGGGUGGAUCUUUGUGCAAGGUCACACAGCUGCUAAAAGGCCAUACUGAGCACUGACGCCCAGUGGUUAGACAGCCAGUCUGAGGUCACUUGGCUUCAGGACCUGGGAGGGGUAGAGAAGGGCAUGAGCCCAUCCACCUCCCUUUCCACCACCGUCGCAUAACACCUGGCUUUUCCCGCAGAGUUCCAGGACUGCAGAAAUACUUAGGGAACCAACACAGGUAUGUGGAGGGGGCCCUGAUCCCUUACUGGCCCUGAAUGCCACUCAGAUGGCAGUCCUGGGACUCUUAUGUGCCAUUUUCCCAGUCCUUGGGUCUGGGGACCCUAGAGAAACCCCAUCUCAGGGUCCUGAGCUCAUGCCAGGGGCUAUACGCAGGUGUUCCAUUCCUGUCAGCUAUCAUGAAGGAGUGUGUGGAGUUAACCCAGGGUCAGGUACCAGGAAGUGCAAAUACAUAAAGGUAAAGCUGAGCUCAGGGUGUUCAGGAACCACGUGUCUCCUUUUCUGAUAUGAACAAAGAGCAGGUGUCAGGACGGGAAUGACUGUCUGAAAAGUUGGGUGUGUAUUCUGGAGGUGGUGGGAGGUUUGGGCCAGAGGAGAGAGGUAAUGUUAGCAAGGUGGAAACAGUCUCCUUCUGACUGUAAAGUGGAGAACAGACCAUGGGAAUGAGAGAGGAGCAAGGAAAGCCAGGGUGGAAGCUACUACUAUAGUCUAGGUGAGGGUUAAUGGACCGGGGCUGUGGUUUAGGGUGGUUGCAUUUCUGGAAGUGGCCAUGGGAUACAAGUUUUAAAACAGGGAAACUGGGUUUUCUCAUGUGGGUGGUGAGGGAGGCAAACGGAGGUAUCAGGGAUAACCCCAGAGUGAUUGAUCUUCGCACCUGUAGGGAUGGAAGUUCCAACUGAGAUGAGGAAGUUGGUAGUAGGAAUAAUAUUCACUGGGGAUAUCAGGAGCUUUGUUUUGGCCACGUUAGGAGUCUGAGAUAUUUCAGAGAUCACUUAGUGGAGGCAUCGAAUUGGCAUCUAGAAACGCAAGUUGGGAAAUCAAAAGAGGGGUUCAAAUUGAAGACAUUCAAAAUGUGGUAGUUACUCUAUGGGCCCAAGUAAGUAACCUGUGGUUACAUUUAGGAGAUAUAAUCUUCAUAUUCGUGGUCAUGAAGCUGUUUAUGGGCCAGGAGGUGGAGGGUAGAGACUGAGCACUAGGUCUCUUGCUUGGGACCUGAGUGACGGCAUUGGAAUUCUUAAAUGCAGGUGAGGGAGGUAUGUGGCACUUAAGGUAGGGUGUAUCAGACAGACUAGUCUAGCAGGUGGCUGAGGCUUCCAGGAUAAGAGUGGACAUGAGAGACGUAGCGGGAAGGGGUAAUUGAGGCAAGAUGUCACUCAGGCCAGAGCUCUUGUUUAUUCACGUCUCUGUGGAUCCACCAAGAUUUGUGAGGAUUUGGUGGGGGCUGGGAUGUUUCAUUCAGCCUGGUGGGUAUGAUCAGGGGCAAAUAUAUGGUCAUCUGUGAGAAUCAGUAGGACUGGGGUGGGUGAUACAUGGACCGGGCUCUGAAUGAGGGUUAGGUGGACACAGAAGGUUGUCAUUGCCGAGGAGACAGCCUGUGCAGCACAGAAAUGGAAGAGGGCCCUGGGUAUUGAGACCCACAACUGAUUCUGUGUGGCUGAGUCUCAGUAGGGAGGCCUUCAUAGAAGGAUUAGGUGUUUCCAACUCUAGUGGGAGCCAUGGGCAUUCUUGGCUUGUAUUGGGUUCUGUUUGAAUUUGCCAAGUAGCUCUGGAUGUUUUCUGCUAAGUUCAUUUUAUGGCUUAAAAUUAAGGCCCAUUUUUAUGUGCUGCCUUUACACCUGUUGAAGCCCCAAGUGGCUGAUGUGGCCAAGAGUGUAUUCUUGGGUAAAGUGUCCUAGCCAGCCAUCCCUUUUCAUCGAGAGGACCAGAGCACUUCCUGCUUUGGCCUUUGAAGUGGGCUUCACUUGUCUACCGGCCCAUGGAGUUAUUCACACAAGCCGUUCACAUCAUCCUGUGGGAACCAGAUGGUACCCCAACUCUUGAUCUUGUGAGACUUGCAUCUCACAGCCCCUGGUCGUUCACUCUUUUCUAGUAUACAGCAUUCACAUGGCCCUGUAAGGCGUGUGGUGUCCUCCCCUCUGGGCUGUGAAUAUAUGUAGUAAACUGCUGUUGAUCUCAUCUGUCCAGUGUCCGGUACUUUGUGUUUGGCCGUCCCCAUAAGCCUAAGACAGGAAUUCUCAAACAAAAGUGACUUAUAGGGAGGCCAAGGAGAUGCCUGUGCCACGUGGCAUUGUGCCACCAGUGUCCAGGAACAUGAGGCUGUGCAUUCUGAAGAAUACUUGGAGAGGGAGUAUGUCUGAAGGUCCCAGGGCCCUAGGAAUGACACUUACACGACAGAUCAUAUCAGGGUGGAGGAGUAGCUUGACAGAAGUGGGUGCAUUCAUCCACCCAGGACCACAGCUCAGACAUCUGUUCACCUGUGUGUUGUUGCUGAUGAUCAGACCUCAUGACUCAUGAGCCCACGAGUAACCAGCAAUGCAAGCUGUCCCAAGGCCUGGUUUGUUUCCUAGGUUGGAGGCUUGGGAGGAGGGUGAUCUUGGGGUAGAUGUGUACAGGAGGGAUUGGGUACUCAGGAGAAGGGCUCUUGGUGGUUUCAUCUGUCACCAUCAUGACAGGACACUGUGACUUUUGAAGACGUGGCUGUGUACCUGUCCCGGCAGGAGUGGGGUCUCCUUGAUGAGUUUCAGAGACACUUCUACCACGAUGUGAUGCUGGAAAACUUUGAACUUACAGUCUUUCUGGGUGGUUGGUGUGGAGGAGACCACGAGGAGGAGCAUUUCUGUAGGCGUGCCACAAGUGAGGACUCCAAGGCAGGUGUGUCUGCCCAGAAGGCCUGCUCCUAGGAGAUACGAAGCCUCGUCUCGAGGGACGUUUUACACUUGGCUGCACCAGGGAGCACAUACCACGCGGAGGCUGUACACCCAUGGGGCAGGUGGGCAGUGAAUGUUUUAUUGCAGACCUCCUGUGGCACCAGAAGCAGCACAUUGGAGAGAAACACUUGCGGAGCAGAGUCUCAUUUGUGAGGAGCUACAGGUUCUGUGUCCCAGAAGCGCUUUACCUACAUGGCGAGGUGGGGCGGGGGGGUCGGGAAGGACUUCAGGAAUGACUUCUUGAGCAGCUCAGUGUCUCUUCGACGUAAGUCCCUCCCAUUGUGGAGAAGCCCAAGCGAUUACCGAGUGUGCAGUGGCCUCACGUGGUAUGAAGACUCAUUCGAAACGGAGGACGCAGGAAAGCUUUCAAGAACAGAUACACAUCUGUCCAACACCGGAGACCGCUCUAGAGGAAGACCUUCCAUGUGUGCAUCAGAAAGCUCACACUGGCUGGAGGCUUCCUGCGUGUGUGGAGUACUCAGGUGGACGCCCCGUCUCACUGAGCACCCAGAAAGUCACAUGGGAAACUUAGGUCAUUACCGUAGAUGUGCAGGGGAUGUGCGAUCUCUGUACUACUGAGAACCCUGGAGGUGGUCCCUUGUGAGGGAUCUAAAUUCCACCUGAAUUUAAACUCCUACAUCUGAACAGCCACCAAAUUCCAGGUAUGUGCGAGGUAUGUUUUCUUUUUUCAUUAAAAAAAAAAAAAACCUUUUAAUGUUUAUUUUAUUUUUGAGAGAGAGAGAGUACAAGCAGGGGAGGGACAGAGAGGGAGGCAGACACAGAAUCUGAAGCAGGCUCGAGGCUCUGAAUUGUCAGCACAGAGCCUGAUGUGGAGCUCGAACUCAAUGUGGGGCUCAAACUCCCCAACCGUGAGGCCGUGACCAGAGCCGUAGUCAGAUGCUUAAAUGACUGAGCCACCCAGGUACCUCUGGGAGAGGUAUGUUUUAAAAUCUGCCUUUGCCAGAUUUAUGCCCCCCAGUUCUGUUGCUGAAGCUGUUCUACGUCUACCCUGUGGAAGGUGCCCGUGGUAUGUGUCAUUCACUAACUACAUUGUGUUCAGGGAAGUAGCACUUUCCUGUUGGUGGAAGGGUGUCUGAGAAGCCUGAGCUUUCAUUCCUUUCUCAUUUCCUUCUCUCUGAUGAUUUAGGCCAUGGAUCUGAUCCAGUUUGGGCCUGGAAGACUCUGCUCAUGACUUGAAAACAGACUUCCUUUUUCAGGGAUGUUAUUGGUCUCACAUGACUUUUUUUUUUUUUUAAUGCUUAUUUAUUUAUUUAAAUCAUUUAUUAUUAUUAUUAUUUGAUUUACAUCCAAGUUAGUUAGCAUAUAGUGCAACAGUGAUUUCAGGAGUAGAUUCCUUAAUGCCCCUUACCCAUUUAACCCAUCCCCUCUCCCACAACCCCUCCAGUAACCCUCUGUUUGUUCUCCAUAUUUAAGAGUCUCUUCUGUUUUGUCCCCCUCCCUGUUUUUAUAUUAUUUUUGCUUCCCUUUCCUUGUGUUCAUCUGUUCUGUGUCUUAAAGUCCUCAUAUGAAUGAAGUCAUAUGUUUGUCUUUCUCUGACUAAUUUCAUUUAGCAUAAUACCCUCUAGUUCCAUCCACGUAGUUGCAAAUGGCAAGAUUUCAUUCCUUUCUGAUUGCCGAGUAAUACUCCAUUGUAUAUAAAUACUACCUCUUCUUUGUUCACUCAUCUGUCGAUGGAUAUGUGGGCUCUUUCCAUACUUUGGCUAUUGUCAAUAGCACUGCUAUAAACAUUGGGGUGCAUGUGUCCCUUCGAAACAGCAUACCUGUAUCCCUUGGGUAAAUACCUAGUAGUGCAACUGCUGGGUCGUAGGGUAGUUCUAUUUUUAAUUUUUUGAGGAACCUCCAUACUGUUUUGCAGAGUGGCUGUACCAGUUUGCAUUCCCACGAGCAGUGCAAAAGAGAUCCUCUUUCUCCUUUCCAACAUCUUUUGUUGGCCUGAGUUGUUAAUAUUAGCCACUCUGAUAGGUAUGAGGUCGUUUCUCAUGGUGGUUUUGCUUUGUAUUUCCCUGAUGAUGAAUGAUGUUGAGCAUUUUUUCAUGUGUUGGUUGGCCAUCUGGAUGUCUUCUUUGGAGCAGUGUCUACUCAUGUCUUUUGCCCAUUUUGUCACUGGAUUAUUUGGUUUUUGGGUGUUGAGUUUGAUAAGUUCUUUAUAGAUUUUGGAUACUAACCCUUUAUCUGAUAUGUCAUUUGCAAAUAUCUUCUCCCAUUCUGUCUGUUGUCUUCUAGUUUUGCUGAAUGUUUCCUUCACUAUGUAGAAGUUUUUUAUUUUGAUGAGGUCCCAAUAGUUCAUUUUUGCUUGGUUUCCUUGGCCUCUGAAGACGUGUUGAGUAAG
Panthera uncia (snow leopard) is the source of this 5680-nucleotide long non-coding RNA. RefSeq lists it as uncharacterized. The transcript has 3 exons. Lineage: Eukaryota; Metazoa; Chordata; Mammalia; Carnivora; Felidae. The record is from RefSeq and is a predicted model, not a curated record.